RNAcentral lists this long non-coding RNA (563 nucleotides) under Rattus norvegicus (Norway rat). RNAcentral's name for it is "long non-coding RNA NONRATT024868". The record is from RNAcentral. Lineage: Eukaryota; Metazoa; Chordata; Mammalia; Rodentia; Muridae.
UGGGACAGGACAUCGCCCUUACCAUCUUACCUUAACCAUUCUCCAUGUCCUGCUGCAGGUCCAGCUCCCUGAGGCCCUGCACCAGCUCUUCCACUCCUUGAAGGAGCUGCUGCUGCUUUUCUACCAUAGUGUGCUGCUGCCCAUGUGGCACUUACUGCUUGCAGCCCUGGCCCAAGUCCAGGAGCAUUGCCACGAGGCCUGCAGGUAAACUCACCCUAGGCUCUACAGGGCCCCACUUCUGUCCCUGGGAACAAGGCUGCACCAUUCAUUUUGUCACAGUCAGUUACUCUGGAAUUAUGGGUUUAAGCUGUAGCCCCUAACAUAAUCCCACACAUGAUCCCCAGCCCUCUCAGUUGUUCUGCUUUUCUCCUAGAGGGGAAAUGACCUGGGACUGCAUUAAGACACAGUUCAGCACAGCUGCCCAUUGGACCUGGCUCUGCCUGCAGGAUGUCACAGUGGCUUUCUUGGACUGGGCACUCACCAUGAUAUCCCAGCAAUAGACCCUGCCUGGCUGGCCACUGGUUUCUGUGGUGGGCUAGCUACUGGAGAGUGCUGGGGGUUAG